Molecule: long non-coding RNA, 1062 nt
Filed under: Felis catus (domestic cat)
Lineage: Eukaryota; Metazoa; Chordata; Mammalia; Carnivora; Felidae
Description: lncRNA (ENSFCAG00000053439.1)
Source: RNAcentral
UGAGAGGACUUUGGCACCGUCAGUCAAGGGCUGCUCACCUGACGUUGGUCACGUGACUCUACAAACCGUUUGCCGGAGUAAUUUGGUGCUGUGCCCUCUGAGAGGCUGAGCAACCAAGAGCUGGCAAGGCCUUGGAGAUCAUGUAACGUAACCCUCUCAUUUUUCACAUCAGGCCCAGAGAGGCCACGUGGAUUGCCCAAGGUCGCAGAGUUAAUUAUGGCAGAACGGGGGCUGCUUUCCAGGUAUCUGCCUUCCCGCUCUUUCGCUACACACCGCUGCCGUUUUCUCCUGAUUUAGCAGUUCUCCCUCUGGGUGAUAGAAGCCUGGAAGCAAAUGUCUAAAUGUGGCAUAUUAUCUAAAAUUAAAUUUGCACAAUCGCAGCCCACUCAAUUCAAGAAGCCCUGAACUUUAAUUCACUUGAGUCAUACUUUUGCAGACGGAAUUUUGGCCAAGAUGAAUUCUCAGUUCUGAAGACAAGUGAGACACAGGGACGUGGUUCAAGGAUCACCUUUCUGAUCAGGAUCAGAAAGGAGACAAGCACCGUUCUGAUCACCAGCUAAUCAAAUCUGACUGAUUGCAUCAGUUCCUUCAAUGGAAGCUCUCACGUUUUUGGUACCGUCAUUAGCCUGACCCGCCAGGCCCACAGACCCAUUGAUGAUGGUGCGAACAUGUAUCAUACUUUGGGGCUUUGUCAUUUGUUGUUGACAGGUUAUAGAAUCUAUAUUUAGACAGUUACAAAAUUUUUGAAUUAGAUAUUGUGUCCUCUAAACUUUACACUGGCCUUUUCGAGAGUGAAGACUGUUAGGUUCUAGUAUGUGAAAAUACUUUGAUGCUAUUCUAUGGCAUUUACAAAGAGAGAGAGAUACAGAAAUUGUGCUGGCUCUGAAGAAUCCAGAACAAGGCAGAGGUCCACAGUCUGGAAAAGUAUUCACAACUUCUACCAAAGAAGUGGCAGAAACCAGCUCUGGCUAAUUUCCAAAGAUGCAUAUUGUGUAAGAAAGAGGGCCGAUUGGAAUGGAGUUCUAUCUUAGGCUUGCUCCCAGUCUAUCUCAGUCAGAUGGC